AAAGAUGAUUCAUCUGAUGGCGAUCCGGGGACGAACAUGCCGAGAUACUCUGCCGGUGCUGAUGAAGACAUCGAUGUAUUCCAAAGCGGCACCAUGGGCGAUGAGCAGGAAGCACACGACUUGAUUGAUGAGGAGUACUACAUGUUUUGCAACGAAGGAUCCGAUAACGACAUAUUGGAUGAUGAAGAGGAAGCGAGCAUGUCUAGCGCUAAACCUAGCGAGAUUGAUCCAUUUGACACUGUCUACUCAAACAUUCCAGACAACACUCACAUCCUGAAAGUCGACGAAAAUUGCAAACACUGCAAGGCCAGAAAGUUUGAGUCUGAGACUGACGGCUUCUGCUGUCGCAAUGGCCAGAUCGAGCUUAAGCAACCGGAACCAAUCCCAGAGCUUAUGAGGCUAUGGUCCAGCAUGGAUGCAGAUUCUAGACUUUUUCGGGAGAACAUACGUUUCUUCAACGGGCAUUUCGCCUUCACAACCCUUGGGGUCAGCCUUGAUGAAAACUACACUAACAUGAAGUCUGGGGUGUACACAUUCCGAGCACACGGCACCAUCUACCACAAUGUCCAUUCGUUCGGGCCUAGCUCCCGUCCAGAACAUCUGCAGUUGUACUUCUAUGACGACGACCCUAACCUAAAUCAUCGUAAGGCGGCC
RNAcentral lists this ribosomal RNA (654 nucleotides) under Triticum aestivum (bread wheat). RNAcentral describes it as "partial small subunit ribosomal RNA". The record is from RNAcentral. Lineage: Eukaryota; Viridiplantae; Streptophyta; Magnoliopsida; Poales; Poaceae.